AAAGAGGGCAAGAAUGAUUCCUUUCUUUAGGAUUGGAAUUCAAAAGCUAUAAUCCUUUCUUAAGGAUUGGAAUUCAGAAGCUUUCUUUAGCUAAAUUUUGUUCAAAUUAACAGAAGCCUAUUUCGUUCAUUUGGUUGAAAAGAGUACAAGCAGUUUCGUCCAAAAAUUUCAAUGAAAUCCAAAGCCAAAAUUCGUUCAAAUUCCGAAGCAGAAGCUUCAUUCUCUCGUUCCAACACAUUUUGCGGAAGCAGAAGCUUCACUUCAAUAAAAUAAUUCCAGGAACAGGUAUGUUAAGGUCCUCUUUCUUUCCUUUUGCAUGGUCCACAUUAUAUUGAAGAAACGAGCAAAUACAUAGAUUUCAUAAAUUACUCUAUUCAUAGAAUUAUUAGAGGUGUCUAUAUUCUUGAUUCCCCAUGAAAAUUAUUAUUAUUUUUUGUUCAAGGGUCUCAGAAUAAUACGAAGUUUGUAAAGUUUAUCCGGAAUGAAUAUUGAGAUUAUUACAUAUUUUUCAUGUAUUUCACUCAUGUGCAUUGACCCAUGACUAGAUGGCGUUAUAUACGCAUAUAUAUGUAAAUAUAUGUAUAUGGGAUAUGGGAAAAGGUUACGACGUUAUAUACGCAUCACCACCUGAUCAGCUGGUAUAUGUUGAUGAUGUUGCUCAUAAUUGCCGAGAUGAUAUGAUGGAAUACCUUCAGUGGCUUGAUGAUAUUAUGUACACCCAUACCUAUGCAUGGAACGACAUUUAUACGCAUGUGUAUGACAUUAUAAACAUUACAGAAAUAUAAUGUUAUUCAGAUUUAAAGACAUGUUUCUAUAUUUCAUGUUUCAUCUAUGUCUUUUACGUACUAAUUUUCAUGCCUUACAUACUCAGUACAUUUUUCGUACUGACGCCCUAUUUCACGGGGCCUGCGUUCCAUGCCCGCAGGUGCAGGUAGGCAAGCUGACAGUCCCCCUUCUUAGGAUCCCUGAUUAGUGAGAGUUGGCGUGCUCUAUUUGAUCUAGAGCUGCUUUUGAUUUUGGUACGAUACGUUUGUAUAUAUAUGUUUAUGGGUAAGAUGUGGCUUAGUCUCGUCUUGUACAGUUACGUUUCUGUUAGAGGUUUGUGUACAAUAUGUCUAGUUGGAUAGUAUGUGGCUUUGCUGGCUUCCAAUUUUGAGAUGUAUAGUUGUCUAUAGCAGC
RNAcentral lists this long non-coding RNA (1179 nucleotides) under Nicotiana tabacum (common tobacco). RNAcentral describes it as "long non-coding RNA (NTAB_LNC004279)". The record is from RNAcentral. Lineage: Eukaryota; Viridiplantae; Streptophyta; Magnoliopsida; Solanales; Solanaceae.